UACAGAGGUCUCAAGCGUUGUUCGGAUCCAUUGGGCGUAAAGGGUGCGUAGGUGGCGCCGUAAGUCAGGUGUGAAAUUUCGGAGCUUAACUCCGAAACUGCAUUUGAUACUGCGGUGCUUGAGGACUGGAGAGGAGACUGGAAUUCACGGUGUAGCAGUGAAAUGCGUAGAUAUCGUGAGGAAGACCAGUGGCGAAGGCGGGUCUCUGGACAGUUCCUGACACUGAGGCACGAAGGCCAGGGGAGCAAACGGG
This 253-nucleotide ribosomal RNA is filed under the name uncultured bacterium. RNAcentral's name for it is "partial 16S ribosomal RNA". It matches the Rfam family "Bacterial small subunit ribosomal RNA", at positions 524 to 776 of the family's 1533-position model. The record is from RNAcentral.